RNAcentral lists this long non-coding RNA (468 nucleotides) under Gallus gallus (chicken). RNAcentral's name for it is "lncRNA (ENSGALG00010006264.1)". Lineage: Eukaryota; Metazoa; Chordata; Aves; Galliformes; Phasianidae. The record is from RNAcentral.
CUUUUUUUAGCUCUCCCUUGCCUCUGCUGCUUGACCCGACUGCGCAUCUCACCUCAGUGAUCUGCAGAUCCUUCCACCCUGCUAGUCACAGAACUGGGCUGAACCUGCCCUUAAACCACUGACACUCUUGUUGGAUGCCGAGGGCAACUUGGUGACCAAGGAUCAGGAUAUGGCUGAGGUGACCUGCCUAGUGGAUGAAGGUAAGGCUGCCGAUGUGGUCUACCUCGACUUCAGUAAAGCCUUUGACACUGUCCCCCACGACAACCUUGUGGAGAUGCUGGCUGCUCAUGGUUUGGAUGGGCAUACGCUCCAUUGGGUGAAACGGUGAAACACUGGCUAGAUGGCUGGGCCCAAAGAGCUGUGGACAAUGCAGUUAAAUCCGGUUGGCAGCUUGUCAUGAGCAGUGUCCCCCAGGGUUUGGUACUGGGGCUGCUUCUAUGUAACAUCUUUAUUAACGAUUUUGACAAG